This 460-nucleotide ribosomal RNA is filed under the name uncultured bacterium. Its description in RNAcentral is "partial 16S ribosomal RNA". It matches the Rfam family "Bacterial small subunit ribosomal RNA", at positions 338 to 795 of the family's 1533-position model. The record is from RNAcentral.
CCUACGGGUGGCAGCAGUGAGGAAUAUUGGUCAAUGGACGAGAGUCUGAACCAGCCAAGUCGCGUGAAGGAUGACUGCCCUAUGGGUUGUAAACUUCUUUUAUAUGGGAGUAAACUGUUCCACGUGUGGGAUUUUGUAUGUACCAUAUGAAUAAGGAUCGGCUAACUCCGUGCCAGCAGCCGCGGUAAUACGGAGGAUCCGAGCGUUAUCCGGAUUUAUUGGGUUUAAAGGGAGCGUAGGUGGAUUGUUAAGUCAGUUGUGAAAUUUUGCGGCUCAACCGUAAAAUUGCAGUUGAAACUGGGAGGCUUGAGUACAGUAGAGGUGGGCGGAAUGCGUGGUGUAGCGGUGAAAUGCGUAGAUAUCACGAAGAACUCCGAUUGCGAAGGCAGUUCACUGGACUGCAACUGACAUUGAGGCUCGAAAGUGUGGGUAGCAAACAGGAUUAGAUACCCUGGUAGUC